RNAcentral lists this ribosomal RNA (497 nucleotides) under uncultured bacterium. RNAcentral's name for it is "partial 16S ribosomal RNA". It matches the Rfam family "Bacterial small subunit ribosomal RNA", at positions 28 to 507 of the family's 1533-position model. The record is from RNAcentral.
GAUGAACGCUGGCGGCGUGCCUAAUACACGAAAGUCGAGCGAACGGACGAGAAGCUUGCUUCUCUGAUGUUAGCGGCGGACGGGUGAGUAACACGUGGAUAACCUACCUAUAAGACUGGGAUAACUUCGGGAAACCGGAGCUAAUACCGGAUAAUAUUUUGAACCGCAUGGUUCAAAAGUGAAAGACGGUCUUGCUGUCACUUAUAGAUGGAUCCGCGCUGCAUUAGCUAGUUGGUAAGGUAACGGCUUACCAAGGCAACGAUGCAUAGCCGACCUGAGAGGGUGAUCGGCCACACUGGAACUGAGACACGGUCCAGACUCCUACGGGAGGCAGCAGUAGGGAAUCUUCCGCAAUGGGCGAAAGCCUGACGGAGCAACGCCGCGUGAGUGAUGAAGGUCUUCGGAUCGUAAAACUCUGUUAUUAGGGAAGAACAUAUGUGUAAGUAACUGUGCACAUCUUGACGGUACCUAAUCAGAAAGCCACGGCUAACUACGUG